AACGAACGCUGGCGGCAUGCCUAACACAUGCAAGUCGAACGAGACCUUCGGGUCUAGUGGCGUACGGGUGCGUAACGCGUGGGAACCUGCCCUUAGGUUCGGAAUAACUCCCCGAAAGGGGUGCUAAUACCGGAUAAUGUCUUCGGACCAAAGAUUUAUCGCCUUUGGAUGGGCCCGCGUUGGAUUAGCCAGUUGGUAGGGUAAAAGCCUACCAAGGCGACGAUCCAUAGCUGGUCUGAGAGGAUGAUCAGCCACACUGGGACUGAGACACGGCCCAGACUCCUACGGGAGGCAGCAGUGGGGAAUAUUGGACAAUGGGCGAAAGCCUGAUCCAGCAAUGCCGCGUGAGUGAUGAAGGCCUUAGGGUUGUAAAGCUCUUUUACCCGGGAUGAUAAUGACAGUACCGGGAGAAUAAGCUCCGGCUAACUCCGUG
This 433-nucleotide ribosomal RNA is filed under the name uncultured bacterium. Its description in RNAcentral is "partial 16S ribosomal RNA". It matches the Rfam family "Bacterial small subunit ribosomal RNA", at positions 29 to 507 of the family's 1533-position model. The record is from RNAcentral.